RNAcentral lists this ribosomal RNA (467 nucleotides) under uncultured bacterium. Its description in RNAcentral is "partial 16S ribosomal RNA". It matches the Rfam family "Bacterial small subunit ribosomal RNA", at positions 29 to 507 of the family's 1533-position model. The record is from RNAcentral.
ACGAACGCUGGCGGCGUGCUUAACCCAUGCAAGUCGAACGGAAAGGCCCUGCUUUUGUGGGGUGCUCGAGUGGCGAACGGGUGAGUAACACGUGAGUAACCUGCCCUUGACUUUGGGAUAACUUCAGGAAACUGGGGCUAAUACCGGAUAGGAGCUCCUGCUGCAUGGUGGGGGUUGGAAAGUUUCGGCGGUUGGGGAUGGACUCGCGGCUUAUCAGCUUGUUGGUGGGGUAGUGGCUUACCAAGGCUUUGACGGGUAGCCGGCCUGAGAGGGUGACCGGCCACAUUGGGACUGAGAUACGGCGCAGACUCCUACGGGAGGCAGCAGUGGGGAAUAUUGCACAAUGGGCGGAAGCCUGAUGCAGCAACGCCGCGUGCGGGAUGACGGCCUUCGGGUUGUAAACCGCUUUCGCCUGUGACGAAGCGUGAGUGACGGUAAUGGGUAAAGAAGCACCGGCUAACUACGUG